GUAGUCAUAUGCUUGUCUCAAAGAUUAAGCCAUGCAUGUCUAAGUAUAAGCAAUAUAUACAGUGAAACUGCGAAUGGCUCAUUAAAUCAGUUAUCGUUUAUUUGAUAGUACCUUACUACUUGGAUAACCGUGGUAAUUCUAGAGCUAAUACAUGCUAAAAAUCCCGACCUCUGGAAGGGAUGUAUUUAUUAGAUAAAAAACCAAUGUCUUCGGACUCCUUGGUGAUUCAUGAUAACUUUACGAAUCGCAUGGCCUUGCGCCGGCGAUGGCUCAUUCAAAUUUCUGCCCUAUCAACUUUCGAUGGUAGGCUAGUGGCCUACCAUGGUUUCAACGGGUAACGGGGAAU
This 346-nucleotide ribosomal RNA is filed under the name uncultured fungus. RNAcentral's name for it is "SSU rRNA". It matches the Rfam family "Eukaryotic small subunit ribosomal RNA", at positions 20 to 370 of the family's 1831-position model. Lineage: Eukaryota; Fungi. The record is from RNAcentral.